UACGUAGGGUGCAAGCGUUAAUCGGAAUUACUGGGCGUAAAGCGUGCGCAGGCGGUUUCGUAAGUCUGUCGUGAAAUCCCCGGGCUUAACCUGGGAAUGGCGAUGGAGACUGCGAGGCUAGAGUUUGGCAGAGGGGGGUAGAAUUCCACGUGUAGCAGUGAAAUGCGUAGAGAUGUGGAGGAACACCGAUGGCGAAGGCAGCCCCCUGGGUCAAGAUUGACGCUCAUGCACGAAAGCGUGGGGAGCAAACAGG
This 253-nucleotide ribosomal RNA is filed under the name uncultured bacterium. RNAcentral describes it as "partial 16S ribosomal RNA". It matches the Rfam family "Bacterial small subunit ribosomal RNA", at positions 524 to 776 of the family's 1533-position model. The record is from RNAcentral.